This 277-nucleotide unclassified non-coding RNA is filed under the name uncultured fungus. Its description in RNAcentral is "sequence contains ITS1". The stretch from base 1 to 98 matches the Rfam family "5.8S ribosomal RNA", at positions 49 to 154 of the family's 154-position model. Lineage: Eukaryota; Fungi. The record is from RNAcentral.
UAAAGUGCGAUAUGUAGUGCGAUUUGCAUGAAUCUGUGAGUCAUCUAAUCUUUGAACGCAACUUGCGCCUUUUACGAGGCAUGUUUGUUUGAGUGCCGCAAUCCUCUGCAGCAAUGCGAUUUGACUCGUGUCUUUGUUGACCGAGUUUAAACAGAGCUAGAGGAUGGUCAGUUUGACCUAGUCCGAGUGCUAAGCAUUCUUGGGCCUAGGCUGGAUUGAUCAUUAAUCUAUCUUUAUUUUUGGCCUCAAAUCAAGCAAGACUACCCGCUGAACUUAA